CUUUCCUCUUGCUCCGGUUUCCCUCCGGGACCCAUUUGGGUCUCUUCCAACUCGACAAGGACAGGCCGAGAUGGGCCAGGAAUUCCUUAGUGCUGCAGGCAGGCCUGGACCAGGAGACCCAAAGGCAUCCAGGGAAGGCAGGAAGGGGGAGAGGCCUUUCUUUCCCUCAGCCGCAGCCGCACUCUUUCCUGAGGGAUUUCCUCCCUGAAGGCCAGGCCUCGAGAGAGAGACCCAGGCCCUUCUUGCACAGGCUGCAUUCAUUCAGCUUCCCACCCAGUUUGAGCACGGAUUCUGUGUCUUGUGUUUUCAUCUCUGUUCUGUGUUAUUUUAAUAUGUAUUUUAUAUAUAUACAUUUUAAUAUGUAUAUCUAUGGAAAUAUUAUAAUGAUAUUGUCGAAAGCAUUCCUGGACAGAAUCUAUUUUCUGUGCUGUCUGGCCAUGUUCUGGUAGCAUUCUCUCCUGACAUUUGGCAUGCAUCUGUGGCAGGCAUCCUCAGAGGUGCUGAGGUCUCCCAACAGACAAGAGUUCUAUCUUCCAAUCUGGACCUUCCAGGGGUAUAUAAACCCCACUUGCCUAGUUUCCAAUAUACAGUAGAGUCUCACUUAUCCAACAUUCUGGAUUAGCCAAUGCAUUUUUGUAGUCAAUGUUUUCAAUACAUCGUGAUAUUUUGGUGCUAAAUUCGUAAAUACAGUAAUUACUACAUAACAUUACUGCCUAUUGAACUACUUUUUCUGUCAAAUUUGUUGUAUAGCAUAAUGUUUUGGUGCCUAAUUUGUAAAAUCAUAACCUAAUUUGAUGUUUAAUAGGCUUUUCCUUAAUCUCUCAUUAUCCAACAUACUCGCUUAUCCAACGUUCUGCCGGCCCAUUUACGUUGGAUAAGCGAGACUCUACUGUAUAUCUAUGGAAAUAUUAUAAUGAUGUUGUCGAAGGCAUUCCUGGACAGAAUCUAUUUUCUGUGCUGUCUGGCCAUGUUCUGGUAGCAUUCUCUCCUGACAUUUUGCCUGCAUCUGUAGCAGGCAUCCUCAGAGGUGCUGAGGUCUCCCAACAGACAAGAGUUCUAUCUUCCAGUCUGGACCUUCCAGAGGUAUAUAAACCUCACUUGCCUAGUUUCCAAUAUACCUCACAACCUCUAAGGAUGCCUGCCAUAGAUGUGGGCGAAACGUCAGGAGAGAAUGCUUCUGAAACAUGGCCAUACAGCCCAGAAAUAACACAACGACCCUGUGAUUCUGGCCAUGGAAGCCUUUGACAACACAUUGUGAGGCCUGUUGGAAAUGAGGCAAGUGGGGUUUAUAUACAGUAGAGUCUCACUUAUCCAACAUUCGCUUAUCCAAUGUUCUGGAUUAUCCAAGCCAUUUUUGUAGUCAAUGUUUUCAAUAAAUCGUGAUAUUUUGGUGCUAAAUUUGUAAAUACAGUAAUUACAACAUAACAUUACUGCGUAUUGAACUGCUUUUUCUGUCAAAUUUGUUGUAUAACAUGAUGUUUUGGUGCUUAAUUUGUAAAAUCAUAACCUAAUUUGGUGUUUAAUAGGCUUCUCCUUAAUCACUCCUUGUUAUUCAACAUAUUUGCUUAUCCAACCUUCUGCCGGCCCGUUUAUGUUGGAUAAGUGAGACUACUGUAUCUGUGGAAUAAUGCCCAGGGUGGGAGAAAUAAAUAAAAUCAAUCUUUAUUUGUAUCCCACUUUUCUCCCUAUACAGAACCCAAUGCAGCUCAUAACAUUAUGUAUAAUACAGUACAAUGUAUUAUACAUAUGUAAAACAAUAACCUAUACAAACAAAUUUACAAUAAGAAACAUAUUUGAAAUAAUUUAUCUAAUACAGUUAUUGCAGGCAACUCAACAAGAUAGAUGGUGAUUUUAGCUCAACUCAAUAAAAGUUAGCGUUUGUCAUUACAACUAAGUGUCUAAGUCAAAAGCUAGCACAAACAGGAGAUAGUCGUAGAUAGUCUAGGUCCAAGCUAUUUGGAGGCCAGAUCUAAGAGAGAGACCCAGGCCCUUCUGGAGUCUUCCUACAGAGGCUGUAUUCAUUCAGCUUCCCAUCUAGUUUUGAGCACGGAUUCUAAACUCCCGUGUCUUGUGUUUUCAUCUCUGUUCUGUGUAUUUUAAUAGUAUUUUAUAGAAAUAUGUUUCAAUAUGCAUCUUUUAUUAAUACAUAUAUCUGUGAAAUUAUUAUAAUGUUGUUGUCAAAGGCUUUCCUGGCCAGAAGCACUGAGUUGCUGUGAGUUUUGCAGGCUGCCUGGCCAUGUUCCGGUAGCAUUUUCUCCUGACAUUUCGCCUGCAUCUGUGGCAAACAUCCUCAAAGGUUGUGAGGUCUGUUGGGAAUGAGGCAAGUGGGGUUUCUCUAUCUGUGGAAUAAUGCCCAGGGUGGGAGAAAGAAUUAGAUCAAAUCAAUCUAUUUGUAUCCCGCUUUUCUCCCUAAACGCAACCCAAAGCGGCUCACAUUAUGAAAAAGGUAAUACAAAACCAUAUACAUAUGUAAAACAGUAACCUAUAAAAACAAAUCUACAAUAAGAAACGUAUUCAAAAUAGUUUAACACAGUUAUUGCAGGCAACUCAGCAAGACAGAUGAUAAAUUUAGUGCAACUCAAUAAAAGUUAGCCUUCCUGUCAUUACAGCUAAGUGUCUUAAUCAAAAACUAGUGCAAACAGGAAGGUCUUUAGCUGCUUUUAAAAAGAUGUCAGGGAAGGGGCUGUUUUGGAACUCCCUCCCCAAGAAGGCCACUGAGAAGGCCCUCUCUCUUGUUGCCACAACCACAUUUGUGAUGGUGGUAGCAAUAAGAGGAGGGCCAUGUUAGAAGAUCUUAAUAUUUGGGAAGGUUGGUAUGAGGAGAUGCAGUUAGGGUCAGAUAGGUAAGUGGGACCUUAAUUGUUUAGUGCAAUGGUUCUCAACCUGUGGAUCCCCAGAUGUUUUGGCCUUCAACUUUUAGAAAUCCUAACCGUUGGCAAAGUGGCUGGGAUUUCUGGGAGUUGUAGGCCAAAACACCUGGGACCCACAGGGUGAGAACCACUGGCUUAAGGCUUUAAAGGUCAAAACCAGCACCUUGAAUCAGGCCCGGAAAGGAACUGACAGCCAGUACAGGUGCUUUAGCAGAGAAGUAGUAUGCUCCCUGGGUCCAGCUCCUGUUAAUAACCUGGCUGCAGACCUCUGGACUAAUUGAAGUUUCCCGACACUCUUCAGGGGCAGCUCCAUGUAGAGCCCAUUACAGUAGUCUAAAUGGGAUCUAACCAAGGCAUGGACCACCAUGGCCAAGUCUGGCUUCUCAAUGUACAUUUGCAGCUGGCACACAAGUUUUAAUUGUACAAAGGCCCUCCUGGCCACCACCGACAUCUGGGUCUCUGGGCUUAGCAAUGAGUCCAGGGUGACACCCAGAUUGGGGAAAUGUGUCUUCAAGGAGAGUGUGACCCCUAUCCAGCACAGGUUGCCACCCUAUGCCCUGACCUGCCUUCUGACUGACUGUCUUGUCUGGAUUCAAUUACAGUUUGUCCUAUUCCAGUCCAGAACAGCUGACAGGUUCAGAGUCUGGGCUGCUUCCUUGGCUUCUGGUGGAAGUGAGUAAUAGAGUUGGUUGUCAUCUGCGUACAGAUGGCACCGAACCCCAAAACGGACUAUCUCUCCCAACAGCUUCAUGUAAUAAUAAUAAUACGAAUAACUUUAUUUUUGUAUCUCGUCUCCAUCUCCCGAAGGGACUCGGGGCGGCUCACAUGUAGAUGAUAAACAACAUGGGGGACAGAACUGAACCCUGCAGGCAUCCCCCAGCACCACCAUCUGGGUAUGACCUUCUAGGAAGGAGUGCAGCCACUGCCGAACAGUGCCUCCAAGUCCCAUCCCAGCCAGGUAACCCAGAAGGAUGCCAUGGUUGAUGGUAUCGAAGGCCACUGAGCCAUCCAAGAGAACCAACAGGGGCACAUUCCCCCUGUCAAGUUCUCUACGUAGAUCAUUGGCUUGGAGGACCUUCUUAUAGCAACACCAAGUGGCCAGCUACUAAUCAAGGUUCAUUUAAUAUAAUGCCAAGGUUUUUUUAAAACGUUGUGUUCUCAAACGCAUUACAACUUGUACCCUCAGUUCGCUUCUGACACAAGAAAUAAAAUAAAUCUACUAAGGUGACCAAAGCUGUCUCUGUUCCAUGGCCGGGCCUGAAACCAGACUGGAAUGGAUCCAAAUAAUCUGUUUCAUCCAAAUAUCCCUGGAGUUGUAGGGCCACCACCCACUCCAGAACCUUGCCCAAAAAGAGGAGAUUAGAGACUGAGUGAUAAUUACCUAUAUCCAAGGGAUCUAGUAAAAGAACCCUUGUCUGAAAGAACCAUUGUCUGUUUGAUGCAAUUGUGAAUGUUGCAGUUAGCCAAUUAUUAAUUAAAUAUUUAUAAUGUGUAUAAUUGCUGGUGUCUGUAAGCCACCUUGAGUCCCCCGCGGGGUGAGAAAGGCAGGAUAUAAAUGAAGUACAGUAGAGUCCCACUUAUCCAACAUAAACGGGCCGGCAGAAUGUUGGAUAAGCGAAUAUGUUGGAUAAUAAGGAGAGAUUAAGGAAAAGCCUAUUAAACAUCAAAUUAGGUUAUGAUUUUACAAAUUAAGCACCAAAACAUCAUGUUAUACAACAAAUUUGACAGAAAAAGUAGUUCAAUACGCAGUAAUGCUAUGUAGUAAUUACUGCAUUUACGAAUUUAGCACCAAGAUAUCACGAUGUAUUGAAAACAUUUACUACAAAAAUGCGUUGGAUAAUCCAGAAAGUUGGAUAAGCGAGUGUUGGAUAAGUGAGACUCUACUGUAAAUAAAUAAAUCAUGUGUUUUAAUUAUGCUGUAACCCACCUCAAGACACAAGGAGAGGCGAGUAAGAAAUUCAGUUAUUUCUUGUAGCAAAUAAGUUUUAUUUUGUUUUCAAAAAAAGAAAGAAAAAAGUAACUCAAACUGUAAAAGAUGAGGGAAGGAAGGGAAAGGUGGGGAACAUGACAGGCAAUAAUAUGUAAGUUAAGGAGCCAUGUUAAAUAGUUCUACACAUAAGUCUAUUGUAUCGUUGAAGACAGCUCCAUUUCAGUCUGGUUUCAGACCUGGCUAUGAAACAGAGGCAGCUUUGGUCACCUUGAUGGAUGACCUGUGUAGAGAUCAGGACAGGAAAGGGUGUCACUGUUGGAUCUCCUGGACUUCUCAGCAGCUUUUGAUCCCAUUGACCAUGGUAUCCUUCUGGAUCGUCUCGCUGGGAUGGGACUGGGAGGCCCUGUCUUACAGGAUUCUGUUUUGUCCUCAAUGCUGUUUAACAUAUUUAUGAAACUGCUGGGAGAGGUUUUGGAGUUUGGUGCCACCUGAAUGCAGGUGACACCCAGGUCUACUACUGCGUUCUACCUGAAGCCAAGGAAGCUGUCCUGACCCUAAACCAGUGCCUGCCAUCGGUCAUGGAUUGGAUGAGGGCAAACAAUUUGAAACUUAAUCCAGGCAAAACAGAGGUACUCCCAACUGACUAGGAGUUCCAACUGGUCAGUUGCAAGGCAGAGCAAUCAGGGAAUAGGGAUCCAGCCUGUGCUGGAUGGGGUAAUACUCCCCCCUGAAGACACAGGUCCGUUGUUUGGGGUCCUUCUGGACUCAGUGCUGAAUCUGGAAGCCCAGGUGUCGGUGGUGGCUGGGAGGGGCUUUGCACAAUUAAAACUUGUGCACCAACUGCGCCUGUACCUUGAGAAUGUCUAGCCCAAUGGUCUGCAAUUAUGGUACAGCACAGCACUUUUAUCGCAUUCCCUUGUUCCUUAGCUACAACUUGCACCAUCCCUUUCCUUCUUGCUUACAGCUGGCCAUGUUUCUACGACAGAUACUAUAGGUUAUUGGUGCUGUGCUGAGUUCAAAUUGUUGUUUUAUAUACUCGUGGUUUUAUUUUGUAUUGCACAGUACUGUGUUUAUUUUAUGCAUUGUUUUAGGUGCCUUGUGCCUUAUGUAAGCAGCCCUGAGUCCCUUUGGGGAGAUGGAGGCGGGGUACAAAAAUAAAAUUAUUAUUAUUAUAAGUCAGAGCUGGCCACAGUGGUACAUGCCUUAGUUACAUCCCGCCUGGCUGACUGUGACGCGCUAUAAGAGCUGCAACCAGGUUGCUCACUGGGGCUGGAUGCAGGGAGCAGGGAACCCUCCUGUUGCUGCAGCUCCAGUGGCUGCCAAUCUGUUUCUGAGCACAAUUCAAAGUGCUGGUUAUGACCUUUAAAGUCGUAGAAAGUCUAGGGCCAAGCUAUUUGGAGGCCAGACCUAGAGAGAGAGAUCCAGGCCUUUUUUUAGUUUUCUUGCAGUGGCUGCAUUCAGCUUCCCAUCCACUUUUGAGUGUGUGUCUUGUGUUCAGUCUCUGAUCUGUGUACAUCAGUGGGAGGGAACAACAGGAAAUGGGGAAAUGGUCCUCCUUCAACCCCCCCCCCCCUCAAUAAAAUGGACUAUGUUUCUCUGUCUUCACCUCGUUUUGGCCUUUGCCCGAAUAAUGGAACAGAAGCAUAAUAUGUAUUUUAUAGAAACACGUUUUAAUAUGCUUGAUUUAUAUACAUGUAUGUGUGUACGUGUGUGUGUGUGUGUAUGUAUGUGUGUAUAUGUGUGUAUAUAUUUAUAUGUCAUAUAACUCAUACAGUAGAGUCUCACUUAUCCAAGCCUCACUUAUCCAAGCCUUAAUUUGUAAAAUCAUAACCUGAUUUGAUGUUUAAUAGGCUUUUCCUUAAUCCCUCCUUAUUAUCCAAGAUAUUCGCUUAUCCAAGCUUCUGCCGGCCCGUUUAGCUUGGAUAAGUGAGACUCUAAUGUAUUAUAAAAAACCCACAAUAUAUAUAUGUGUGUGUGUGUGUGUGUGUGUAAUUUAUAUAUUGUUUAUGUGUUUUAUUAUGCUUAUCCUGCCUUGAGAUACAAGGAGAGACAGGUAAGAAAUAAAAUUAUUAUUAUUAUUGUAUUGUCAAGGCUUUGACAGCCAGAAUCACUGGAGUGUUGUGCCGUUUCCACGUUGUAUGGCCAACGUGUUCUAGCAGCAUUUUUUCCUGUUUCUGUUUCACCUGCAUCUGUGGCUGGUGUCUUCAGAUGAUCUGAUGGUGGUCAAACAAGUGGAGUGUAUGAUUUAUCUGUGGAAUAAUGUCCACCUUGGGAGGAAAGAACCAUUGUAUGUUUAAAGCAAAUGUUAGCCAACUUGAAUUAGCCUGGUCUUUAUUCCCUUUCCAUUUUUUGUUGCUUGAUAUCUAUCUAUGUGUGUGGGUUUUGUUAAUUUGAUUUGUGGAUGACUAGGCCACCUAAAAAUUGUAGUUUUCUUAGUUUUCUUUUUCCAUGGUAAACUGGAUGUUUGGAGGGAUGUUGUUGAUGUGGUCCAGGAACUUGUUUAGUUAUUCUUCUCCUACAUGGCUCUAAAUGGUGAAAGUGUCAUCCAUACAUUGGAACAAUAUAAUGGGCUUUUUUGGUGCUGUUUCCAGAGUUUGUGUGUUAAACUACUCCAUGUAAAAAUUAGCAAUGACCGGGCUAAGAGGGCUCCCCGUGACUACCCGAUCUUUCUGUUCAUAGAAUUCAUUGUCCCAUUGAAAGUAGAUUGUAGUGAGGCAAUGUCACUUGGGAAAUUCCGGUUAAUGAGUUCUAUGGUGUCUGCUAUGGGGACCUUGGUGAAUAAAGACACCACAUCAAAGAUAAUCAGUUUGGCAUUGGCAUUAAGUUUGAGAUUGCUGAUUUUUUCUAUGAAGUGGGCUGAAUCCUUAAUGUAGUGUGUAGUGAGCCCAAUAUGGGUUUCUAGUUGUACGACCAGAAAUUUUGCCAAAUUGUAUGCGGGGGACCCAAUGGUGCUCAAAAUGUGUCUGAGUAGAGUCCUUAUGGAUUUUUGGGAGCCCAUAAAGCCUAGGAGGGAGGGCUUCCAAUUUGCAUAGAUGUUUGUGUAUGUUAAGAUUAAUUGAGGAGUCCUUCAUCAAAAUGUUUGUUUUUCUGCUGAUUUUACUAUUUUAUUUAUUUAUUUUCUGUACCUAUAGCUCGCCCUUCUCACCCCCAAAGGGGGACUCAAGGCGGCUUACAAACUAAUUUUGUUAAUUGGGUCUUAAAGAUGCCAGCCACAGAUGCAGGCAAAAUGUUAGGAGAGAAUGCUGCUGGAACAUAGCCAUACAUCCUUGAACAAUAUAUGGAAUUAUUGUUUCAAUAUUGUUCGUUUUUCUAUGUUUGCACUUGUUCACAUUAUUUUCCUUUUAAUUUGCUGGAUUCAACCUUGAAAACUUCAUAAAGAUUAAUUAGAAAGUCAAAAUAAAGCCAAGGUGCCACUCUCUCAGUCUCCCAGGUGGAGAAGGUUGGCUUUUGGAUACCCAGCCUGUCUAUCUGUCUUUCUUCUUUCAUAGAAUCAUAGAGUUGGAAAAGACCUCAUGGGCCAUCCAGUCCAACCCCAUUCUGCAAAGAAGCAGGAAAUCGCAUUCAAAGCACCCCCGACAGAUGGCCAUCCAGCCUCUGCUUAAAAGCCUCCAAAGAAGGAACCUCCACCACACUCCAGGGCAGAGAGUUCCACUGCUGAAUAGCUCUCACAGCGAGGAAGUUCUUCCUAAUGUUCAGAUGAAAUCUCCAUAUUAGCUGCUGGCUAAUAACCAGCUGAUCACAUGAAAGUUGAGAGAUGCCCUGGCCAGCUGACACAGGGAACCACCUCAAAGAUAUUUGAAAAUGGACUAAUAAGCUUUUGUACCGGUGUAUGCUGAUCACAUGAAAGUUCAUGGAGCUGGAGCUGAUAGAGGGAGCUCAUCCGCUCUCUCCCCGGGUGAGAUUCGAACCUGGCAGCUUUCAGGGAAAUGAACAUUCUAUGGAGCCACCUCUUGGGUGCAACAAGUAAACCAAUAACAUAAGAAUAAGAAGUCCUCUCAAGUUGAUGAUCUUGCUGAAUUCUUGAUGUAACUUACAGGUAAAAAAGGAAAAUGGAGAAUCAAGGAUCUGUCUUGACAUUCAACACCCAUUUCACUGUUGACAUGGAGAAAGCUUCUGAAUGCCUAGUGUGUGGAAAGAUUUUCACUCGGAGGACUCAUCUGCAGCGACAUGAGAGGACUCACACUGGGGAGAAACCCUAUGCAUGCCUGGAGUGUGGACAGAGAUUUUCUGAUAGUUCAAGUCUGCAUCGACAUCGAAGGACCCACACUGGGGAGAAACCCUAUCAAUGCCUGGAGUGUGGACAGAGCUUUAGUCAUAGCUGGAGUUUACAUUCACACCAAAGGACUCACACUGGGGAGAAACCCUAUAUAUGCCUGGAGUGUGGACAGAGCUUCACUGAGAGUGGACCUCUACGUUCACAUCAAAGGUCUCACACUGGGGAGAAACCCUAUACAUGCCUGGAGUGUGGACAGAGCUUUGCUCGGAGUGCAAAUCUACAUAGACAUCUAAGGACUCACACUGGAGAGAAACCCUAUACAUGCCUGGAAUGUGGAGAGAGAUUCACGGAGAGUGGAAAUCUCCGUUCACAUCAAAGGACUCACACUGGGGAGAAACCCUAUACAUGCAUGGAGUGUGGACAGAGCUUCACUAAUCAUUCGAGUCUACGUUCGCAUCAAAGGACCCACACUGGGGAGAAACCCUAUACAUGCCUGGAGUGUGGAAAAAGCUUCGCUCAGAGUGCGCAUCUACGUUCACAUCAAAGAACCCACACUGGAGAGAAACCCUAUACAUGCCUGGAGUGUGGAAAAAGCUUCGCUCAGAGUUCAGGCCUACGUUCACAUCAAAGGACUCACACUGAGGAGAAACCCUAUACAUGCCUGGAGUGUGGAAAGAGCUUUACUAAGAGUGCAAAUCUACAUACACAUCAAAGGACUCACACUGGGGAGAAACCCUAUACCUGCCAAGAAUGUGGACAGAGCUUCCCUUGUAGUUCAAAUUUACAUUCACAUCAAAGGAUUCACACUGGAGAGAAACCCUACAUGUGCCUUAAAUGUGGACAGACCUUCACUCGGAGUUCAAGUCUACAUAGACAUCAAAGGGCACACAGUGGUGAGAAACCCUAUACAUGCCUGGAAUGUGGACAGAGCUUCACUGAGAGUGGAAAUCUACGUUCUCAUGAAAGGAUCCACACUGGGGAGAAACCCUAUACAUGCUUGGAGUGUGGACAGAGCUACACUACGAGUGCAAAUCUACGUUCACAUCAAUGGAGCCACACUGGGGAGAGACCCUAUACAUGCCUGGAGUGUGGAAAGAGCUUUACUAAGCAUGCAAAUCUGCAUAAACAUCAAAGGAUUCACACUGGGGAGAAACCCUAUACAUGCCUGGAGUGUGGAAUGAGCUUCCCUUAUAGUUCAAAUUUACAUUCACAUCAAAGGAUUCACACUGGGGAGAAACCCUACAUGUGCCUUGAAUGUGGACAGAGCUUUACUUGGAGUGCAAAUUUACAUAGACAUCAAAGGACUCACCUUGGUGAGAAACCCUAUACAUGCCUGGAGUGUGGAAAGAGCUUCACUCAGAGUGCAAAUCUACAUUCGCAUCAAAGGACGCACACUGGGGAGAAACCCUAUACAUGCCUGGAGUGUGGAAUGAGCUUCAGUCACAAUGCAAAUCUUCAUAGACAUCAAAGGACUCACACUGGGGAGAAAUUGUAUAAAUGCCUGGAGUGUGGACAGAACUAGUCUUAUAGUUCUGGUCUUCAGAUCACACGAGUCACACUGGGGAGAAAUUGUAUAAAUGCCUGGAGUGUAAACAGACCUUCUUUCAUAGUGGAAGGCUACAAUCACAUCAAAGGACUCACUUUGGGGAGAAACCGUGUAUAUCUAUCUAUCUAUCUAUCUAUCUAUCUAUCUAUCUAUCUAUCUAUCUAUCUAUCUAUCUAGAGUGUAGAAAGAGUUUCACUCAGAGUGCAAAUUUACAUUUGCAUCAAAGGACUCCAAAACUGGGGAGAAACCCUAGGAACGCAUAGAGCAGUGGUUCUCAACCUGUGGGUCCCCAGAUGUUUUGGCCUUCAACUCCUAGAAAUCCAAACAGCUGGUAAACUGGCUGGGAUUUCUGGGAGUUGUAGGCCAAAACACCUGGGGAUCCAAAGGUUGAGAACCACUGACACAAACUGUAAAAGAGCUUAUCUGAGAGUUCAAAUCUAUAUACAAGAUAUAGAAUUCACAUUUGAGAGAACGGUGGUAUUUAACCCCAGAGAGACUCUUAAAGACAGCUUUCCAAACUUUUCAUGUUGGGUACACACUUUUUAGAAAUGCAUCCUUUCGUGACAUGGUAAUUCAGUUUAACUAGCAAACCAACCCUUAUAAGAUUUUCAAUAUAUAUAAUAAUAGAGAUAUUGAGAUGGUUUUCUUCUGGCUUUUUAAAUGUUACGUUUUAAUUAUUGACAGCUCCUAAUUUUUAAGUGUUGUCCUAAAUGCUUAGAAUCAUAGAAUAGUAGAGUUGGAAGAGACCUCAUGGGCCAUCCAGUCCAACCCCCUGCCAAGAAGCAGGAAAUCAAAGAUGAAGACGCAUUGGUGAGCACCCUUUGGGUUCGUUUGCUUAGCCAAUUACAGAUCCACCUAACCGUAGUUUUGUCUAGCCCACAUUUUACUAGUUUGUUUGCCAGAAGGUCGUGGGGGACUUUGUCGAAGGCCUUACUGAAAUCCAGGUACGCUACAUCCACGGCAUUCCCUGUAUCGACCCAACUCGUAACUCUAUCGAAAAAAGAGAUCAGAUUAGUCUGGCAUGACUUGUUUUUGGUAAAUCCAUGUUGACUAUUAGCCAUGACCGCAUUUGUUUCUAAGUAUUCGCAGACCACUUCCUUAAUGAUCUUUUCCAGAAUCUUGCCUGGUAUCGACAUGAGGCUAACCGGACAGUAAUUGUUCUUUUUUCCCUUCUUGAAGAUAGGGACCACAUUUGCCCUCCUCCAAUCUGCUGGGACUUCUCCCGUUCUCCAAGAACUCUCAAAGAUGGUUGCCAGUGGUUCUGAAAUAACUUCCGCUAGUUCCUUCAGUACUCUUGGAUGUAGUUGAUCUGGCCCUGGGGACUUGAAUUCAUUUAGAGCGGCCAGGUGUUCCUGGACAACUUGUUUCCCUAUUUGGGGUUGGAUUUCCCCAAAUCCUUCGUCCAUUUCAUGUUGCUGAGGUUGAAGAUGGCUUUUUUUUGUGAGAAGACCGAGCUUAAGAUGUAAUUUCAGCUAUGUGAUGUCUAAUUUGGUGUAUUAUCUCACUAUUAUUUUAUAUUCUUGUUCAAUAUAUUUUAUUUCAUUUAUGUCAUUAUUUUUUUGGUUGAACUUUAUGGCAUUGAAUGAUUGCCGCUAUUUGUUGUGAACCGCUCUGAGUUCCCACGGGAAGAUAGGGCGGGAGAUAAAUAAAGUUUAAUUAUUAUUAUAUUAUAGAUACGUUUUUUAUAUAACCUGUAUUGUAUAAACCCCAGUGAAGUAUAGACUGCCUUGGAAUCUCUAGUCUCUUUUGAAGGAGUUUGAGCUGAGGUUCGAUGGCUGUCUGUUGGGAGGGCUUUGACUGUGCCUGCUUCCUGGCUGAAGGGGGUUGGAUUGGAUGCCCUUUGAGGGUCUCUUCAAGUGCAGGUGGGCAGGGAACCUUUUUUUAUACGGCAUGCCUGUGUACUAUAUCCAACACACUAGUGUGUUUCGGCACACAGUUUGGAAAGCUCCCACACAAGAAAAAUGACUGGUCAGAAUCCACAAACGAUCAGAGAUGGACAAAAUUACUCUGCUGAUUAAAAAGAAAUCUUUGAGCAAGAAAGAUUUGGACUUAUUUAUCACUUUUUCACAACAACAACAACAACAACAGGGGCAAAUGUCAGUUGUUAGAUAUAUAAAUUAGAAGCGUGUUGCCAAAAGCAUAAGUGUACUUACAAAGGAUUAUCUAAGGAGGAAGUAGAAUAAUAAGGGAUGCAAAUCAUGUAGGUAUGAAGUUCUUAGAAUUAGACCCAGGUCUGUUUGUUUAUUUGUUAGUGUACUAUGUAACUGUAUAGGAGUGUUUUCUCGGUGUGGUCUUUUUCUGAUUUAUUUUUGUAGUUUGUUGUGGCCACUCAGUCAGCUAUACAAUUUUAGCAUUUUAUCUAUAUAAAUAACAAUUUAAUGUCCGUCUGUUAGGUACCUCAUACCUCCCAAACUACUCCAUCGAUUGCUACGCAAUUUGGACACAACAUAGCAUUCAAACUGCUGUGUGUUUUACACCUACUCUCACAGACCCGACACACCUGAGAAAGGUAAAAUCAUAUCUCUAAGCAAUGGCCUAUCAGUCUCCUCUUCCCUUAGCUACCAUCCUGUACCAUUUUAACAUUAUAUGUUAUAAAAUUGGUUUGUCUUUUUCUCAAUAAAAACAUGUGUUAAGGGUUGAAAUAUUACAGACUGGAAAGGCAGAUAGAGCUGGGAUUUAAUUCAUCACUUAAGAUCCUUUUGGAUAUUGUUCUCCUCCUAUAUGACAGUUGUAUGGCUCUGGGUUUAAUUUUGAUGCUUCAGUUAUUAAAUAUGUUUUGAUAAUG
Anolis carolinensis (green anole) is the source of this 13347-nucleotide long non-coding RNA. RefSeq annotates it as zinc finger protein 420. The transcript is spliced from 4 exons. The record is from RefSeq and is a predicted model, not a curated record. NCBI's taxonomy places the organism in Eukaryota, Metazoa, Chordata, Lepidosauria, Squamata, Anolidae.